GAUGAACGCUGGCGGCGUGCCUAAUACAUGCAAGUCGAGCGAACGGACGAGAAGCUUGCUUCUCUGAUGUUAGCGGCGGACGGGUGAGUAACACGUGGAUAACCUACCUAUAAGACUGGGAUAACUUCGGGAAACCGGAACUAAUACCGGAUGAUAUUUUGAACCGCAUGGUUCAAAAGUGAAAGACGGUCUUGCUGUCACUUAUAGAUGGAUCCGCGCUGCAUUAGCUAGUUGGUAAGGUAACGGCUUACCAAGGCAACGAUGCAUAGCCGACCUGAGAGGGUGAUCGGCCACACUGGAACGGGGACACGGUCCAGACUCCUACGGGAGGCAGCAGUAGGGAAUCUUCCGCAUUGGGCGAAAGCCUGACGGAGCAAGGCGGCGUGAGUGAGGAAGGUCUUGGGAUCGUAAAACUCUGUUAUUAGGGAAGAACAUAUGUGUAAGUAACUGUGCACAUCUUGACGGUACCUAAUCAGAAAGCGACGGCUAACUACGUG
This 497-nucleotide ribosomal RNA is filed under the name uncultured bacterium. RNAcentral's name for it is "partial 16S ribosomal RNA". It matches the Rfam family "Bacterial small subunit ribosomal RNA", at positions 28 to 507 of the family's 1533-position model. The record is from RNAcentral.